ACAGUAACGGUAACUGUGCUCCAUUAGCCAACCCAUGUGGUCAAGUCCCCUCCCCGUCCACCAACCUUGCCCUUAAUGAGAGCUGGAAGGGGGACACUCACAAAACACUGCUUCAGAAUAAUAUUCGGCUUUGUCCACGCCGGUAACAAGAGCUGACAGGAUCACUACGUCCAUUUCUCUUCUAAUUAGCACACUUCCAGCUCGGCCUGAGCCAGCAGCCAGAGAAAAGCGAUCGGACAACCGUACCGAAUCACAAACACAAAGAGGCCCAUUCCCCAUAAUUAGGUCUGACUUGGGGGAAUUCUUCUAACAAGCGGCAGCCAGCGCUCCCUGCGCCACAGACGGACAGGGAGCCGCCUCUCGGGCACCGGCAGGAGAAGGGGGACGGGGAGAAACAGCCAGAAAAGCAGUCCAGGCGCUGGGGCCCAGCUACGCGGCACGGGGCUGGUGGCUGGGCAGCAGCCACAAGGUGCUGGAGACAUGGAACUUCUCCAUCCUUACUCCAUCUCCACUGUCUCCCUGCGUGGUGGAAACCCAAGUUCAACUCUUUGGUCUGCCUUCUCCUCUGUCAUCUCCAGUGGUGGUCACAGGAAUCAGCAGGCAGGCCAGAGGUCAACCAUACAAACCCAACAAGAAAACGCCUAUUCUGUACAACCAUCAGCUGCCUGGAGUCAGUCAUCCCCCUCAAAGGGACACCACAGAAAAGGUCAAGUCUAAAAAUCGGCAGUUUCAGUGGAAGAUGAAGUCAAAAUGUGAAGAGAUCCUGCCAUGCUGAAAAUCUAGCACAACCUUAAUAAAACUGGCAUUGUUGCACAUUCUCUAUGACGAAU
This is a long non-coding RNA of Manacus vitellinus (golden-collared manakin), 830 nucleotides long. RefSeq lists it as uncharacterized. Lineage: Eukaryota; Metazoa; Chordata; Aves; Passeriformes; Pipridae. The record is from RefSeq and is a predicted model, not a curated record. The transcript has 3 exons.